RNAcentral lists this ribosomal RNA (293 nucleotides) under Streptococcus pneumoniae. Its description in RNAcentral is "partial 23S ribosomal RNA". It matches the Rfam family "Bacterial large subunit ribosomal RNA", at positions 1836 to 2126 of the family's 2925-position model. Lineage: Bacteria; Bacillati; Bacillota; Bacilli; Lactobacillales; Streptococcaceae. The record is from RNAcentral.
AGCUGACGUAUAGGUGCUGACACCUGCCCGGUGCUGGAAGGUUAAGAGGAGGGGUUAGACUUCGGUCGAAGCUCUGAAUUGAAGCCCCAGUAAACGGCGGCCGUAACUAUAACGGUCCUAAGGUAGCGAAAUUCCUUGUCGGGUAAGUUCCGACCCGCACGAAAGGUGUAACGACUUGCGCACUGUCUCAACGAGGGACCCGGUGAAAUUGAAGUACCUGUGAAGAUGCAGGUUACCCGCGACUGGACAGAAAGACCCCAUGGAGCUUUACUGCAACCUAAGAUUGAACUUAG